UUAACGCAAAUUUGUAUGGAGUUGGCACAGUUUCCUUUCGUUGAACACUAGGGGCGCUGUUCCGACUCCAUACAAAUUUGAGUUA
Molecule: non-coding RNA, 85 nt
Organism: Bombyx mori (domestic silkworm)
Lineage: Eukaryota; Metazoa; Arthropoda; Insecta; Lepidoptera; Bombycidae
Source: Rfam